This 75-nucleotide transfer RNA is filed under the name Cordylochernes scorpioides. RNAcentral's name for it is "tRNA-Thr". It matches the Rfam family "tRNA". Rfam says of the family: Transfer RNA (tRNA) molecules are approximately 80 nucleotides in length. The record is from RNAcentral. Lineage: Eukaryota; Metazoa; Arthropoda; Arachnida; Pseudoscorpiones; Chernetidae.
GUCCAGGGAAGCCUAGUGGACAUGGCAUCUGUCCGGUAAGCGGAACACUGUGGGUUCGAUUCCCAUCCCUGGACA